UAAUGAUGGUGAGGACAAUCUAUGAGAAGACCCUUAAACCUUUCCCAGGCCUGAUAUAAAUUCUCUCCAUUUUUCUGCCCGAAUGACAUGAUCUCUCUUCGGAGGCG
Small nucleolar RNA from Lycium barbarum (goji berry), 107 nucleotides. The record is from RefSeq and is a predicted model, not a curated record. NCBI's taxonomy places the organism in Eukaryota, Viridiplantae, Streptophyta, Magnoliopsida, Solanales, Solanaceae.